Molecule: ribosomal RNA, 253 nt
Filed under: uncultured bacterium
Lineage: Bacteria
Description: partial 16S ribosomal RNA
Rfam family: Bacterial small subunit ribosomal RNA
Source: RNAcentral
UACGGGGGGGGCAAGCGUUGUUCGGAAUUACUGGGCGUAAAGGGCUCGUAGGCGGCCAACUAAGUCAGACGUGAAAUCCCCAGGCUCAACCUGGGAACUGCGUCUGACACUGGAUGGCUUGAAUCCGGGAGAGGGAUGCAGAAUUCCAGGUGUAGCGGUGAAAUGCGUAGAUAUCUGGAGGAAUACCGGUGGCGAAGGCGGCAUCCUGGACCGGCAUUGACGCUGAGGAGCGAAAGCUAGGGGAGCAAACGGG